AGACAAACGGUGGUGGAGAUGUAGCCAUCCAGGCGGACAGCCCCAACUCCCCUGUUUGGUGAGGGGAGGACGGGAGCUGAGGAUGUGGAGGACAGCCGCGUGACGAUGUGCGCGGAGAGAAACAAGAGAACCCGUUAGAUUAAAAAAAAUGGACGGGGCCGGCGGGACGUCACGAUGCGCCGUCGCCACAAAGCUCAGUACGCCGCUCAUGAACGCGCUCAUUUGGCUCCCAGCAUGCCGCACGUCCGGAGGGACCGCUGGUUACCAGGAGCUCAUCCAAGAACAGUGCAACCCACCCUGCUGCAUCCGAGGAGGAAACAAAACUUAAACACAAAAGCUCAAGAAAUGAUGAAGAAGUCUUCCUCCAACUUCCAGGUGUGUCGGAGGUUGUGUGUGUGUGUUGCUUGCAGAGAGCUGUGUUCGCAGGCCUGAGGGGUUGUCUGUUAUCUUUGGUUAUCUAGCUGUAUGAGUGACGUACAUUCUUCAUAAAGCUAGAUAACCGAAAGUAACAAGAAUCCCAUUACACGCCUGCAUGGAGGAUGAAAACUACAUUUGAAAAAAAAAAAACACAAAAAGAAGUAGGAGUGGGCUCGGACGAUGGACGCUGCCAAGCAAUGACGUGAAGGGUUUCUGAUCAGUCUGGAGUUGGGAAUCAUCGGAUCUUUGCCUCUCUGCUCUUUUGGACUGUGACUUUGAGUCCAGCGAUGUUGGUUUCCCACAGGACUACACAUCAUUAUAUACUGGAGGAAACACACGGAUUCUGUGAAAGCAGCUGUCUCAAUGAACCGGACAGUGGACAGUUGAAACUGUCAUAAAACUGGAUACAAAAGUGUUUUCAGCUGCCACAGCAGAACAUCUUUAACCGAAUGACGACAAAAAACAUAAAAGGAGACAGAAGAUUUUGAAGUGGACAAACAUGACGACAUUUGGUCAUCAUGGGGCUGACACAGAGAGUAAAGGACGGCAAAGAGAUCCGUGUUGUACACUGUGUUCUUGGGAACUGCUCUGCACAGCUGUUCAGGAAACAUCUGCACUACAUUUUCAUGUAGGUCAGAGCUUAGAUCUCUCUCUCUCUCUCAGUCACACACAAACACAAAUUCAGUCAUUUGAGAUUCAAAGCAAUUUUAUAAUUAAAAGGGAAAAAGGUUAGAUGAUGGAGAAAAUAGUUGCUGUAGUGUAUUAUUCAAUACAAUUUAUUCUCCUUUAGACCUUAAGUGCUAGAUUUUACAUUUAUUUUUCUUACUUAUCUUUUGAAUCCUAUUUGUAUUUAAUUAUUUCAGCAAGCAAAUUAAUGUGUGUAUUUGUCUCAUGUAAAACUUUGGAUGUGUCAAUCAAGUUGGUGACAAUCUGUGUGACUGGGGUACUUGAAAUAUUAGUGGAAAAAAUAUGCAGUGUCAGAACUGUUUUGUCUUGUACGACUUGUUUAUCAAUGAUUCAGAUGAUUUGACCAUUUUAAGACACAUGUAAUACUUAUUAUCAUCUCAUAAAUACAUUGAGUGUUUUAUACAUUUUUAUUUAAGAGCUGUGUAACCAUAACAUGGGCUCUAUCCACAGCCACCUACAUUACAUUUUAUUUGAUCUUUUUUUAAUUUUUUUUGUACAAUAUCUUUAUUGAAUUGUAUUUUUACUUUUACUGUACACGUUUAUCACUGCAGGGAGCAUUUUGUGCAAUCAAAACUACAAUAUGUCUAUUUUUUAUCUAUGCAAAAGAAACGAGUAGGUUUUGUUUGAAUAAGUGUUUGCACAUUAAUUGUUAAGUUUGCACAUCAGCAGCUAAAUGUACGGGUAAAGUUUGUGUGUGAGAAAUGUGGGUAAUUGUGAUGUUUUACUAAUAUGCACUAAAUGAGCACCGGUGCAAUGUGUGUGCUGAGCUGGUAAUGAAGGUUUGAUUUGAAACAGUGGAUACAGCCGUUUUAUUGAUUUAAUCAGUGACUGCAGUCGAUCUCAGAGACUAAAAUCUCGAUUUAUUCCACAUUUCAUUUGUCAAAUCAGCUCCUCAGACAAUGUAACAUGAACACUUGAAUGCAUAUGACUUUGCUUUGAUCUAGUGUGGAGAAUUUGUGCAAUAGAUUUAUGUAGUUUGAUACAAUUCAGAGGAUGAACUGAUUAUAUUAAAAUGCACUCAAUGAGUGUUACAAGCAGGAUUUGCACGAGAGCUGCUGUUAAUGUGCUCGAUAUCUGUACUAUGCAACUGUUUAAUUAAAAUCAAUAAAAGUAUUAUGUUUACAAUGAGACAAAAA
Molecule: long non-coding RNA, 2240 nt
Organism: Epinephelus moara (kelp grouper)
Lineage: Eukaryota; Metazoa; Chordata; Actinopteri; Perciformes; Serranidae
Exons: 4
Source: RefSeq, a predicted model, not a curated record